UACCUGGUUGAUUCUGCCACUAUUCAUAUGCUUGUCUCAAAGAUUAAGCCAUGCAUGUCUAAGUAUAAACAACUUUGUACUGUGAAACUGCGAAUGGCUCAUUAAAUCAGUUAUAGUUUAUUUGAUGGUUUUUGCUACAUGGAUAACUGUGGUAAUUCUAGAGCUAAUACAUGCAUUCAAGCCCCGACUUCUGGAAGGGGUGUAUUUAUUAUAUAAAAAACAACUUUGUUGGUGAAUCAUAAUAACUUCUCGGACCGCAUGGGCUCGAGCUGGCAGAGCUUCAUUCAAAUAUCUGCCCUAUCAACUGUCGAUGGUAGGAUAGAGGCCUACCAUGGUUGCUACGGGUAACGGGGAAUAAUGGUUCGAUUCCUGAGAGGGAGCCUGAGAAACGGCUACCACAUCCCACGAAGGCAGCAGGCGCGCAAAUUACCCAAUCCCCACACCGGGAGGUAGUGACAAUAUGUAACAAUAUACGGCCUUAUCCGUCUUUAAAUUGGAAGGAGUACAAUUUAAAUCCCUUACCACACAACAAUUGAAGGGAAAGUUUGGUGCCUGCAACCCCGCUAAUUCCACCCCCAAUACCUAAAUUAAAGUUGUUGUAGUUUAAAAAAUCGUAUUUGGAUCUUGUACUCGGACCGGAGGUCCCCCCCUCCCGCAAGAACCGCACAGUUGGGACUUUCCUCUUGGUGAUCUUGUUGUUUCGGCCUCCAGCNAAACAGGACCCUUACUUUUUACAAAAUUAUAGUGUUUCAAAACCGGGUUUUAGCCCGAAAAUAUUUAUCUUGGAAUAAUAAAAUAUGAACUGCGGAUCCAUUUUGUUGGUUUUUGGAAUCCCCCUAAUGGUAAAAUAGGGUCGGUUGGGGGCUUAUUUCUUAACGUGUGAGAGGAGAAAUUCUUGGAUUUUGGGAAGACUAAUUUGGCCGAAAAACAUUUGCCCAUGGUUGUUUUCAUUUAUCAAGGAGCGAAGGUUGGGGUAUCGAAAACGAUUUGAUUCCCGUGUUAGUUUUAACAGUAAACUAUGCCGAGUAGGGAUCGGUCGAUUUUAUUUUUUUGACUCGAUCGGCACCUANCGAAAAAUCAAAGUUUUUGGGUUCGGGGGGGAGUAUGCUCGCAAGGCUGAAACUUAAAGAAAUUGACGGAAGGGCACCACCAGGAGUGGAGCCUGCGGCUUAAUUUGAUUCAACACGGGGAAACUCACCAGGUCCAGACAUAGGAAGGAUUGACAGAUUGAUAGCUCUUUCUUGAUUCUAGGGGUGGUGGUGCAUGGCCGUUAUUAGUUGGAGGAGUGAUUUGUCUGGUUAAUUCCGAUAACGAACGAGACCUUAACCUGCUAAAUAGCCCCGUCGACUUUGGUUGGGGGCUGGCUUCUUAGAGAGACUAUGGGCUUCCACCCAAUGGAAGUUUGAGGCAAUAACAGGUCUGUGAUGCCCUUAGAUGUUGUGGGCCGCACGCGCGCUACACUGAGGGAGCCAACGAGUUCUUUCUUUGUCCGGAAGGACUGGGUAAUCUUGUGAAACUUUGUCGUGCUGGGGAUAGAGCAUUGCAAUUAUUGCUCUUCAACGAGGAAUUCCUAGUAAGCGUGAGUCAUCAGCUCGCGUUGAUUACGUCCCUGCCCUUUGUACACACCGCCCGUCGCUACUACCGAUUGAAUGGCUUAGUGAGCCUUUGGGAUCAGCCGCUUGUACCGGCAACGGGAACGAGCGGCCGAAAACUUAGGCAAACUUGGUCAUUUAGAGGAAGUAAAAGUCGUAACAAAGGGCGAAUCGCGGCCGCAAAUCAAUCCCUAUGUAUCCG
This 1794-nucleotide ribosomal RNA is filed under the name uncultured fungus. RNAcentral describes it as "SSU rRNA". It matches the Rfam family "Eukaryotic small subunit ribosomal RNA". The record is from RNAcentral. Lineage: Eukaryota; Fungi.